Molecule: ribosomal RNA, 371 nt
Filed under: uncultured microorganism
Description: bacterial SSU rRNA
Rfam family: Bacterial small subunit ribosomal RNA
Source: RNAcentral
GCGCAGCAGUCGCGAAUCUUCCACAAUGGGGGAAACCCUGAUGGAGCGACGCCGCGUGCGGGAUGAAGGCCCUAUGGGGUUGUAAACCGCUGUUCAGUGGAAAGAACACCCUCCGGCUGAAUAGGUCGGAGGCCUGACGUUACCACUGCAGAAAGUCCCGGCCAACUCCGUGCCAGCAGCCGCGGUAAUACGGGGGGACGAGCGUUGUCCGGAAUCAUUGGGCGUAAAGGGCGCGUAGGCGGCGAGGAAAGUCGAAUGUGAAAUCUUGCGGCUCAACUGCAAAACUGCGUUCGAAACUUCCUCGCUUGAGUAUGAGAGAGGUGUGCGGAAUUCCUGGUGUAGCGGUGGAAUGCGUAGAUAUCAGGAGGAAC